UACGAGAGGCCGAAACGUUAUUCGGAUUUACUGGGCUUAAAGAGUUCGUAGGCGGUCCAUCAAGUGGGGUGUGAAAUCCCUCGGCUCAACCGAGGAAUUGCGCUCCAAACUGUUGGGCUCGAGGGAGAUAGAGGUGAGCGGAACUGAUGGUGGAGCGGUGAAAUGCGUUGAUAUCAUCAGGAACACCAGAGGCGAAGGCGGCUCACUGGGUCUCUUCUGACGCUGAGGAGCGAAAGCGUGGGGAGCGAACAGG
RNAcentral lists this ribosomal RNA (253 nucleotides) under uncultured bacterium. Its description in RNAcentral is "partial 16S ribosomal RNA". It matches the Rfam family "Bacterial small subunit ribosomal RNA", at positions 524 to 776 of the family's 1533-position model. The record is from RNAcentral.